UGACCACUAGAACUAUAAAAGGAAGUUUUGGACGGUUACUCUAAUCUCAACUGAUAGGCUGAUUCACAAACUCCGUUCACACUCCUGCGCAGUAAAAUAACACAUCACAAUUUCACUAAGACAAGACAGUCAAGAAGUGGUCAUCAAAAUGUUUUCUACGAGGAACUUGGACACAUUAAUUGUAAUAAUUUUCCUUUCCAUGUUAUGUUAUUCUUUGAAGUCUGAAGCAAAACCACUGGGAAAGCGAUCCAUAAGUGAAGUACAGUUCAUGCACAACCUUGGAGAACACAAACAUGUGCAAGGGAGACAGCACUGGCUUCGGAUGAAGUUGAAAGACAUCCACACAGCGUCGCUGAGAAAUACUGACAGGGGAGAACGAG
Molecule: long non-coding RNA, 380 nt
Organism: Anguilla rostrata (American eel)
Lineage: Eukaryota; Metazoa; Chordata; Actinopteri; Anguilliformes; Anguillidae
Exons: 3
Source: RefSeq, a predicted model, not a curated record